Molecule: transfer RNA, 70 nt
Filed under: Dipodomys ordii (Ord's kangaroo rat)
Lineage: Eukaryota; Metazoa; Chordata; Mammalia; Rodentia; Heteromyidae
Rfam family: tRNA
About the family: Transfer RNA (tRNA) molecules are approximately 80 nucleotides in length. Their secondary structure includes four short double-helical elements and three loops (D, anti-codon, and T loops). Further hydrogen bonds mediate the characteristic L-shaped molecular structure. tRNAs have two regions of fundamental functional importance: the anti-codon, which is responsible for specific mRNA codon recognition, and the 3' end, to which the tRNAs corresponding amino acid is attached (by aminoacyl-tRNA synthetases). tRNAs cope with the degeneracy of the genetic code in two manners: having more than one tRNA (with a specific anti-codon) for a particular amino acid; and 'wobble' base-pairing, i.e. permitting non-standard base-pairing at the 3rd anti-codon position.
Source: Rfam by way of RNAcentral
GGGAAGGUGGCUCAGUGGUAGAGUGCUUGCCUCACAUGCAUUAGGCCCUGGGUUCGAUUCCUUAGCCCCA